RNAcentral lists this ribosomal RNA (405 nucleotides) under uncultured eukaryote. RNAcentral's name for it is "partial 18S ribosomal RNA". It matches the Rfam family "Eukaryotic small subunit ribosomal RNA", at positions 592 to 976 of the family's 1831-position model. The record is from RNAcentral.
CAGUAGCGUAUAUUAACGUUGUUGCAGUUAAAAAGCUCGUAGUUGGAUAUCUGAUCUUGUGCGGUUCGACAUUGUUUCAUUCAUUCCGAAUGACAAUUGUUCGUAAGCCGAUUUUACAAGUUCAUCCUUCGUGGAGAGUAGUUUGGUCCUUAACUGGUCCGGGCUUACAAUCCCGAUCUAUUACUUUGAAAAAAUUAGAGUGUUCAAAGCAGGCUAAUGCCACUUGAAUACACUAGCAUGGAAUAAUAAGAUAGGACUUAGUCUUAUUUUGUUGGUUUCUAGGACUUAAGUAAUGAUUGAUAGGGACGGUUUGGGGGUGCUAGUAUUCAGCGGCCAGAGGUGAAAUUCAGUGAUUCGCUGAAGACUGACUAAUGCGAAAGCAUUCACCAAGGACGUCUNCUUUAA